GGGCGUUUAGUUUAAUGGUAAAACCUUGACCUUACAAGUCAAUUAUGGCAGUUCGAUUCUUCCAACGCCCA
RNAcentral lists this transfer RNA (71 nucleotides) under Ulva sp. TM637. Its description in RNAcentral is "tRNA-Val". It matches the Rfam family "tRNA". Rfam says of the family: Transfer RNA (tRNA) molecules are approximately 80 nucleotides in length. Their secondary structure includes four short double-helical elements and three loops (D, anti-codon, and T loops). RNAcentral also lists the same sequence under 1 other name. Lineage: Eukaryota; Viridiplantae; Chlorophyta; Ulvophyceae; Ulvales; Ulvaceae. The record is from RNAcentral.